RNAcentral lists this long non-coding RNA (3573 nucleotides) under Ananas comosus (pineapple). Its description in RNAcentral is "long non-coding RNA (ACOM_LNC041371)". Lineage: Eukaryota; Viridiplantae; Streptophyta; Magnoliopsida; Poales; Bromeliaceae. The record is from RNAcentral.
AUGCCUCAAUCUGAUAUCAUGCAUGCAUGAACAACAGAUAAAGCUGGGUAGUAAGCUACUAUGAACAACAACAACAAGUAAGCUAAAAUGAACAACCAUAGAGAAGCUACUACAACAACAAAUAAUGAGUGUGACUCAAUAGGUUACCCAAUUUCAUGGUGAACUCGAGGUUCACAAGCAUAACUCAUGUGUAAGUCUCAUAGGGAAAGUCUCACUGAACUACUCCCGAGACCGCCUGCGGACAGUACACAGACCGUCCAGACAGCACACUGACUGUCCCUCUAGUGACCAACCUCCGGAGUGCACAGCUUGCGGGGAGCGACCCCUCCAAGCGCAGACAGGCUAUGUGAGCACGAUCAACUCACGACCAACAGCAUUCUACCCUCUAAGGGUAAUCUCAUCUUAGAAUCAUGGUGUUCUAAUACUCAAUCUCAUAGUGUUUCAGCUACACUAGGGUUCUCAUGUCAUAAGCGAUCAACAAUCAUAUGCCACUUGUCAUAGUUUUCUAUGUUAGAUGCCACUUGCCAUUUUGACUCGUUAUCAACACUAGUUACAUUAUACUAGUUCUUUAACAACAUAAGCAUUAAUCAUCUCAUAUAGGGUCUAGGUUUUCAUCAUAUAGUUUUCAUGCAUACAAUUAGGUUUCCGACCCAUCAAAAUAGAUUAAAACCCUAUAUGCCCAAAAAUCCCAAAAUCCAACCCUAGGUUUAGCACCCACGGAAAAUAAUAGUUUCUAGCUUUAUUGUGAGCUAGAUCCAUACCCUCUAAACUCAUUAGGUUCCAUUUGAACCAUUAAAAACAACAAAAAGCUCCCAAACCCAAGAAAUCACAAGUUAGGGUUGAGGCUUACCUCUAGGGUUUGCUCCAAAGCAAGCCCUAGCUUGAGGAAGAGGAGGGAGAGAAGCUUCUUCUUCUUUUUCUUGAUCUUCUCCUUCCUUUCCUUCUUCUUCUCUUUCUUUCUCUCCUUCUUUUCUUCUUCUUCUUCCAUUUUUCGGUUUAGAGAGAGAGAGAGAGCUAAGUGAGAGGGAGGGAGAGAAGCUAAGAGUGAGAGAGAGGCUGAGAGAGAGAGGUAUACAAAGUCUCUAAUGUAACAAAAUCCCAAAAAGCCGCUCUAUUUUCUAAUUUCCAAAGCAGACCCACUGUUUAGGGUCCAUUGUACCGGUACACGGUUUCUUGUACCGGUAUAAGGCCUGGGUGACAGCCAAACCCGAGCGCUCGGUUUCUCGGUUUCAUAGGGCUUGUACCGGUACAAGGCCCCCUUGUACCGGUACAAGGUCUUGCAGCUCCAACCCGAGAGCUGCGAUGGUUGUACUGGUACAACCAUCACUCUUGUACCUGUACAACAGCUCCAGAAUGCUGUUUUUCUCUUCUCUUCGGCUCUACUUCGCGCCGGUCGAUGUCAAAACCAUUCCAACACCUUUGGAACUCAUUUUUGCUCUUCCAAACUUGUUGGAACCUCGAAUAGAACUUGUCCAAACCGUUCAAUUCCCCACUUUGGUCCAUUUGGCCAAAAUUAGCCAAAUUCCAUCGAGUUUCAAUAUCUCACAUUCUCCACCCCUUAAAAGGAGUUUCGUCCUCGAAACAACUCAACUCAUAAUUCGAACAAAACUCUUACCUCAAUCCUCGAACAAGUGAGGAUGAUUCGCUUUCAUCUCGUCCUCGAGUUCCCAAGUGGCUUCGCGAUCGUCGUGAUUGCUCCACCGAACUUUAACAUAGGGGAUUUCUCGAUUCCUUAGCUUGCGCACCUCCCGAGCUAAAAUCUCCACUGGAAACUCUUCAUAGCUCAUAUCAUCCUGAAGCUCCGGCGGCUCAUAAACUAGAACAUGCUCGGGAUCAUGCAUGUACUUGCAAAGAUUGGAGACGUGGAAGACAUUGUGCACUCCCGCAAGUUUCGGGGGCAAGGCAAGUCGGUACGCCACCAUCCCAAUUCGCUCCAAGAUCUCGUAGGGGCCAAUAUAACGAGGACUUAGCUUUCCUCGCUCCCCAAACCUUUUCACGCCUCGCAUCAGCGAAACCUUCAAAAACACGCGGUCACCCACCGCGAACUCCAAAUCUCUACGACGUUUAUCUGAAUAGCUUUUCUGUCGCGACUGCGCCGUGAGCAACCUUUUGCGAGCAAGUUGGACUUUCUCCUCCGCCUCCCGCAAAACAUCCGGACCAAACUCAACUCGCUCGCCUACAUCACUCCAAUAAAUGGGAGAUCGACACUUCCGCCCGUAGAGAGCCUCGAACGGUGCCAUUCCCACGCUAGCAUGAUAACUGUUGUCAUAGGCGAACUUGUCACGCCCCCGCCCCGGGGCCGCUACCGAUUUGGCACGGUUCGGGCGCGGCAAGCGGACCGCCAAACGGACAGAGUCUCCCCUGUCCGCCCAAGGCUCAAAUGACGAGAUUGUGUACAACAAGUUCCCAGGAAAACACUUGAAUACAUAUACAAUUAUACAACAACUAAAGCACGAACAGUGCUGAACAUUACAAGAGCAAGCGUCACAAGUAGUAGACAUACAAGUGAAACAAAAGAGAGAUACUUAACUAUUCUAUUACAACCAUUCUACUUGAUACAUUUAAUUACAACUUGCAUUCUUUUCCAAAAUAUGAAUAUAAGCGUACAUUCUUCAAAAGAUAACAUUAGUUUACAUUUAUCUCAAAAUACCUCACAUCCUAUACAUCAUCUACUCUCAAUACAUGUAUAGGGUAACUCUAAUGCAAAAUAGGAAAGUAAACUACCAACUAGCAUUAGGGCGCUAAGCCUAUAACGCGAUCUUCUGCCGAUCCGCUCUCGUGUGUACCUGUACCCCAAAACCACACGGGGUGAAAACUAUAUAAAUAUAGUUCCCAGUAGGUUCGGCCGCCGACUUCGCCGAUCUUCCCACUAGGUCCAAGCUGGCACAGAUAGAUAGAUAGAAAGAUAUAUGGAAAUACUACUACUAUAUCUAUUAUGCCAUCAAAUGCAAAGUAUGCAUGGAACAUCAUCUAGCAACAACCUACCAUCAUGCUAGUAUGCCUCUACAGUGAAAUAAAUACAACAACAACAUAGUUAUGCAGUGUACUAUGUCUAAUCAUGGUAUGAAUGCAAUACUCUUAAGCUAUUCAUGUUAUUACCCAAUCUGCUAGGCUACUUUGCCUAAGAUCUCAAAUCUAGUAGGUGAAAAGCUACCUCAUUCUUGUCUCAUUCGAUUCAUGUCUUAAGGGUCCUGAGCAAAGAGCUACCCCGCUCCUCGCCCGACUUAGAUCUCGAAGGUCCGACCCAAUCUCGAAGGUCCUAGGCAAAGAGCUACCCCACUCCUUGCCCGACUCACAUCUCAAAGUCCUAGGCAAAGGCUACCCCGCACUUUGCCCGACUCACAUCUCGACCUACUAGGUACAGGGCUACUCCACUCAAAUCUCAUAGGUGAAGGAAUAGUAUAUCAUGAAUGCAUGAGCAAUAAGUAAGCUACUAUGAACACUAGUAAGCUACUAUGAACAACACAACAACUAUGGAAGCGAGCUAUCAUGAACAACGAUAAUGAGUAUGACUCAAUAGGUAACCAAAUCUCAUGGUGAACUCGGGGUUCACGAACAUAUCUCACGUGUAAG